RNAcentral lists this long non-coding RNA (400 nucleotides) under Triticum aestivum (bread wheat). RNAcentral's name for it is "long non-coding RNA (TAES_LNC017188)". The record is from RNAcentral. Lineage: Eukaryota; Viridiplantae; Streptophyta; Magnoliopsida; Poales; Poaceae.
UGCCAUCACAUUUUUGUCCUCAGUUAGUGUCCACGAUCACAUAUUUGGGUGUACAACUCCCAACCCUCAUAUUUACUCGUGAACUCAUUCGCACCCUGAAUACAUUUCAUUAAGAAUAAGUUGGCAUCAGGUCGUGUGUAGAAGUUCCAAAAGAAACAAGAAUUUGUAAUGUCUAAACCUGCUAUCUUUACUGCGUCCAGUUGCAGAAUCAACCAGCGUCGAGGCGUCGACUUCUUCAUGUGAGGCUUUGCCAAUGAAAUCAAAUAUUCACAUUUUUCCUUGGAAUGAGAGCAUCAGUAAAGCCAGUCAUACCCUAAUUGCUAUUUGAAGAGAACUAACAUGGAUAAUUAAUAGUUGCAGUAAUACCAGUCAGGUAAAAUACAACAAAUACUCCUGUCAC